ACGAAGUCCGCAGGGAUGCGACUCCUCUUGCCAAAAUUCCUGGAUUGCUUGAUGCUCUGCUUCAAAUUAUAGAUGAUUGGCGUGAUAUAGCCUUACCAAGGGUACUUGUAAAGGCACCGCGUGUCCGGCUUUUGGGUGCAAAUUCAGUCGUUACUGGAUUUGGACUUGAAUAUGAAGCAUUGAACUCGAAUGAAUCUGUUCUCAAUCCUAGAGAGUCAUCUGUUCAGAAGAGUUCUACCAAGUCUCGCCCCACGGGUUUGUGUUUUGAGGAAGAUGGCCUAUUUAAUUUGGAUGAGGAGGGGCGGAUUGAAAAACAGCAGUUUGCUGUUGCUGCUUCAAACGUUGUUCGCAACUUCUCUUUUAUGCCAGAUAAUGAAGUCAUCAUGGGCCAGCAUAGACAUUGCUUGGAAACUCUAUUCCAAUGUCUGGCAGAUUAUGUCACAGAGGAUGAAGAACUUGUCACAAAUGCUCUCGAGACUAUAGUGAAUAUAGGUCCAUUGAUAGAUCUUCGGAUCUUCAGUUCUUCAAAACCUUCUUAUAUCAAAAUGACGGAAAAGCGUGCAGUCCAGGCCCUCAUGGGAGUGCUAGGAUCUGCUGUUAAGGCCUGGCAUUGUGCUGCUGCUGAAUUAACUGGUCGUCUUUUAAUAAAUCCUGAUAAUGAACCUUUCUUACUUGCUUCUG
This 681-nucleotide unclassified non-coding RNA is filed under the name Hevea brasiliensis (rubber tree). The record is from RNAcentral. Lineage: Eukaryota; Viridiplantae; Streptophyta; Magnoliopsida; Malpighiales; Euphorbiaceae.